AGAAAUAUACUUUUCGAAAGUUACGCAAACUUUGGAAGGAUUAUCGAUCCAAUUUAGUGAAAAUGGUGAUGAAGCAAGCUCAAGUGGUUGGCCUACCACGCACUGCUUCUCUUCUCAAACCGGACAAUGUAAAAACUAUGGACGAAUGGCACUCAUUUCUCAAAGAACAAAGUAGUCAAGAAACUAGAGUAAGUGUGUCUUUACUUUUUCAUCUUUAUUGUGUCUUAAUCCUUGGUGUUGGCUGCCAUUGAUGAUGUUGUAGAUAUGGAUUGAGUGUUUCACGAAUUUGAUUUGAGUGAUACAUCUUAUAUUUGGAUAUUUACCUAUGUUUGUUGGGUCAGAUUGAUUUAUAUUUUAGCGUUAAUUUGUUAUGUUCUCUCUUUGCGUAGGAAAAGUGUCAAAAGCAAAAGGAAAUGAGGGCAACACAAACUUUAGUGCAUAGAACGAGCCAUAAAAGCUUUGCCUGCAUAAAGGAUGAACUGGUAAAAAUGAUAUUAGUUUGAUAUCAAUUUGUAGUGUGAGUAUUGACUUCUUUUUUCUUUUUGCAGCGACAAAAAAGUGAGACACCUGAGGCAAUUUCAAGGACUGAUGUUUGGAUCUAUG
Molecule: long non-coding RNA, 603 nt
Filed under: Prunus persica (peach)
Lineage: Eukaryota; Viridiplantae; Streptophyta; Magnoliopsida; Rosales; Rosaceae
Description: long non-coding RNA (PPER_LNC007844)
Source: RNAcentral